Molecule: ribosomal RNA, 493 nt
Filed under: uncultured bacterium
Lineage: Bacteria
Description: bacterial SSU rRNA
Rfam family: Bacterial small subunit ribosomal RNA
Source: RNAcentral
GAUGAACGCUAGCGGCGGGCCUAAUACAUGCAAGUUGAACGAGAUUGUUGGUAGCAAUACUGACAUGAAAGUGGCGCACGGGUGCGUAACACGUAUGUAACCUACCUUUAACUGGGGCAUAGCUUCGAGAAAUCGAAAUUAAUACCCCAUAACAUUUAGAAAAGGCAUCUUUUCUUUAUCAAAGUUCCGGCGGUUAAAGAUGGACAUGCGGUGCAUUAGCUUGUUGGUGAGGUAACGGCUCACCAAGGCUACGAUGCAUAGGGGGUCUGAGAGGAUGAUCCCCANACUGGUACUGAGACACGGACCAGACUCCUACGGGAGCAGCAGUAGGGAAUAUUGGGCAAUGGACGAAAGUCUGACCCAGCCACGCCGCGUGAAGGAUGACUGCCCUAUGGGUUGUAAACUUCUUUUGUAUGGGAAGAAAAUUCCGAACGUGUUCGGAGCUGACGGUACCAUAAGAAUAAGCAAUCGGCUAACUCCGUGCCAGCAGCCG